GAUGAACGCUGGCGGCGUGCCUAAUACAUGCGAGUCGAGCGAACAGAUGAGGAGCUUGCUCCUCUGACGUUAGCGGCGGACGGGUGAGUAACACGUGGAUAACCCACCUAUAAGACUGGGAUAACUUCGGGAAACCGGAGCUAAUACCGGAUAAUAUAUUGAACCGCAUGGUUCAAUAGUGAAAGACGGUUUUGCUGUCACUUAUAGAUGGAUCCGCGCCGCAUUAGCUAGUUGGUAAGGUAACGGCUUACCAAGGCAACGAUGCGUAGCCGACCUGAGAGGGUGAUCGGCCACACUGGAACUGAGACACGGUCCAGACUCCUACGGGAGGCAGCAGUAGGGAAUCUUCCGCAAUGGGCGAAAGCCUGACGGAGCAACGCCGCGUGAGUGAUGAAGGUCUUCGGAUCGUAAAACUCUGUUAUUAGGGAAGAACAAAUGUGUAAGUAACUAUGCACGUCUUGACGGUACCUAAUCAGAAAGCCACGGCUAACUACGUG
This 497-nucleotide ribosomal RNA is filed under the name uncultured bacterium. RNAcentral's name for it is "partial 16S ribosomal RNA". It matches the Rfam family "Bacterial small subunit ribosomal RNA", at positions 28 to 507 of the family's 1533-position model. The record is from RNAcentral.